GACGAACGCUGGCGGCGUGCUUAACACAUGCAAGUCGAACGGAAAGGCCCCUUUGGGGGUCCUCGAGUGGCGCACGGGUGAGUAACACGUGAGUAACCUGCCCUUGACUUCGGGAUAACUUCAGGAAACUGGGGCUAAUACCGGAUAGGAAUCCUUGCUGCAUGGUGGGGGUUGGAAAGCUUCGGCGGUUUUGGAUGGACUCGCGGCUUAUCAGCUUGUUGGUGGGGUAGUGGCUUACCAAGGCUUUGACGGGUAGCCGGCCUGAGAGGGCGACCGGCCACAUUGGGACUGAGAUACGGCCCAGACUCCUACGGGAGGCAGCAGUGGGGAAUAUUGCACAAUAGGCGGAAGCCUGAUGCAGCAACGCCGUGUGCGGGAUGACGGCCUUCGGGUUGUAAACCGCUUUCAGCAGGGGCGAAGCUUGUGGUGACGGUACCUGCAGAAGAAGCACCGGCUAACUACGUG
Molecule: ribosomal RNA, 465 nt
Filed under: uncultured bacterium
Lineage: Bacteria
Description: partial 16S ribosomal RNA
Rfam family: Bacterial small subunit ribosomal RNA
Source: RNAcentral